ACGGCUCAGUAACACGUUGAUAAUCUGUCCUUAGGCUCAGGAUAACCUCGAGAAAUUGAGGCUAAUACUGAAUAUGAGAUUGAGGCUGGAAUGCACUUUCUCUCAAACGUAAGGCCUAAGGGUGAGUCAGCGGCUGAUUAGGUUGUUGGUGAGGUAAAAGCUCACCAAGCCAGCGAUCAGUAGGGGAGAUGAGAGUCUUGACCCCGAGAAGGACACGGAGGUACUGGUCCUAGUCCUAAGGGAUGCAGCAGUCACGGAACCUUUACAAUGCACGAAAGUGUGAUAGGGGGAUUCCAAGUGCUUUGCCAACGGCAAGGCUUUUGCCAAGUGUAAGAAGCUUGGCGAAUAAGUGGUGGGCAAGACCGGUGCCAGCCGCCGCGGUAACACCGGCGCCACAAGUGGUGAUCGUACUUAUUGGGUCUAAAGCGUCCGUAGCCUGUUCGGUAAAUUCUUUGUGAAAUUGUUGAGCUUAACUUAACAGCUUGCAAGGAACACUGCCAAACUUGAGACCGGGAGGGGGUAGAGGUAUUCCAUGGGGAGCGGUAAAAUGCAAUAAUCCUUGGAAGACCACCAGUGGCGAAGGCUUCUAUCCAGAACGGGUCUGACGGUGAGGGACGAAGGCUAGGGGAGCAAAAUGGAUUAGAUACCCAAGUAGUCCUAGCUGUAAACACUGCGAGCUGAGUGGGGCAUUUCCUAUAUGGAAAUGCUCGGUUUAAGCGAAGGCGUUAAGCUCGCCACCUGGGAAGUAUAGUCGCAAGGCCGAAACUUAAAGGAAAUUGGCGGGGGAG
Molecule: ribosomal RNA, 788 nt
Filed under: uncultured archaeon
Lineage: Archaea
Description: bacterial SSU rRNA
Rfam family: Archaeal small subunit ribosomal RNA
Source: RNAcentral